GAUGAACGCUGGCGGCGUGCCUAAUACAUGCAAGUCAAGCGAACAGACGAGGAGCUUGCUCCUCUGACGUUAGCGGCGGACGGGUGGGUAACACGUGGAUAACCUACCUAUAAGACUGGGAUAACUUCGGGAAACCGGAGCUAAUACCGGAUAAUAUAUUGAACCGCAUGGUUCAAUAGUGAAAGACGGUUUUGCUGUCACUUAUAGAUGGAUCCGCGCCGCAUUAGCUAGUUGGUAAGGUAACGGCUUACCAAGGCAACGAUGCGUAGCCGACCUGAGAGGGUGAUCGGCCACACUGGAACUGAGACACGGUCCAGACUCCUACGGGAGGCAGCAGUAGGGAAUCUUCCGCAAUGGGCGAAAGCCUGACGGAGCAACGCCGCGUGAGUGAUGAAGGUCUUCGGAUCGUAAAACUCUGUUAUUAGGGAAGAACAAAUGUGUAAGUAACUAUGCACGUCUUGACGGUACCUAAUCAGAAAGCCACGGCUAACUACGUG
Molecule: ribosomal RNA, 497 nt
Filed under: uncultured bacterium
Lineage: Bacteria
Description: partial 16S ribosomal RNA
Rfam family: Bacterial small subunit ribosomal RNA
Source: RNAcentral